CCACUUCAAGGUGGAGCAGGAAUCCGGUUCAUCAACAUUUGCAUUCUUCGGUUUUAAUGGGACUGCUGGUGUAUGGAGAAUCCAAGCUAUCAACGAAUCAGGAGGUUGGAAGGAUCGAACAACUGUAGAAGAUAUGGAUUUAGCAGUGAGAGCUGGGCUUCAAGGCUGGAAGUUUGUAUACCUGGGUGAUGUCAAUGUUAAUAGUGAACUCCCAAGCACUUUCAAAGCUUAUCGAUAUCAGCAACAUCGUUGGUCUUGUGGGCCAGCAAAUUUGUUUAGGAAAAUGUUUUGGGACAUCAUAGAAACGAAGAAAGUUUCUCUAUGGAAGAAAUUCUUUGUGAUCUACAACUUCUUUCUUGCUCGAAGGAUUACAUCCCAUUUUGUCACUUUCCUUUUCUAUUGCAUUGUCAUUCCCAUCUCAGUUUUCUUCCCUGAAGUAGAAAUUCCGAAAUGGGGGGUUGUUUACAUUCCAACAGUAAUCACUCUUCUCAAUUUAGUAGGAACUCCAAGCUCGAUUCAUUUAAUUGUCUUUUGGGUCUUCUUCGAGAAUGUCAUGUCCUUGCACCGAUGCAAAGCGGUGGCUAUUGGUUUAUUAGAAGCAGGAAGAGCCAAUGAGU
This 617-nucleotide unclassified non-coding RNA is filed under the name Hevea brasiliensis (rubber tree). Lineage: Eukaryota; Viridiplantae; Streptophyta; Magnoliopsida; Malpighiales; Euphorbiaceae. The record is from RNAcentral.